ACUUCAACAACAACAAUCUCCUCAGCAGGGUUUGCAACAUGACGAUUGUGGAAACUGAGUGCAACAAUCUCCUGAAAUUGCUAUUGAGUCAACGAUGAUGCUAAGGGUGACAUCCACAGAGGCGAUGUUAAUACGUUUGAUUGCAUCGAAAGCCAAAGGCUGAUUGAAACGCUCCCGAGCCCGUUUCCAGGAUAUAAUCCAGAUUGACAAAGUUAUACAAUCGAAGAUCGGUUUCCCAGACCAGCAGGCUGUCUAAACAGCUGAACGACAGGAAACUCUGUCAAGCAUUGGGCAGACAUAAGCUGCAGUGGACUCUUGAGUGUGGACUUCAGGACAAACGAGGCGCCUUACCCUCACCAGUGGGGUCACCAGGUUCCCUCACUCUAAAACGGUCCCAACAUCUCAACAG
This is a long non-coding RNA of Dreissena polymorpha, 409 nucleotides long. RefSeq lists it as uncharacterized. Lineage: Eukaryota; Metazoa; Mollusca; Bivalvia; Myida; Dreissenidae. The transcript has 4 exons. The record is from RefSeq and is a predicted model, not a curated record.